AAUGAACGCUGGCGGCGUGGUUAAGACAUGCAAGUCGAACGGGACAUUAGGUGUAGCAAUACAUCUGAUGUUCAGUGGCGAACGGGUGCGUAACACGUGAACAAUCUACCUUUAAGUGUGGAAUAGCUCGCCGAAAGGCGAAUUAAUACCGCAUGUGGUGGCCGUCUCUCCUGAGAGACCUACUAAAGUCGGGGACCGCAAGGCCUGACGCUUGAAGAGGAGUUCGCGGCCUAUCAGCUUGUUGGCGAGGUAACGGCUCACCAAGGCUAAGACGGGUAGCUGGUCUGAGAGGAUGGUCAGCCACAUUGGGACUGAGACACGGCCCAAACUCCUACGGGAGGCAGCAGUGGGAAUAUUGGACAAUGGGCGCAAGCCUGAUCCAGCCAUGCCGCGUGAGUGAUGAAGGCCUUAGGGUUGUAAGCUCUUUUGUGUGGGAAGAUAAUGACUGUACCACAAG
This 457-nucleotide ribosomal RNA is filed under the name uncultured bacterium. RNAcentral describes it as "bacterial SSU rRNA". It matches the Rfam family "Bacterial small subunit ribosomal RNA", at positions 29 to 484 of the family's 1533-position model. The record is from RNAcentral.